CGUGCGUCGUGCGGAAAUAUGGCGGAGCAUUGAGUGGCGCGCUCAAUUGAAAUAAACAACUGUACAGUGUGGAAGUGAAACAUCUUGCGAAGUUUUAAUCCAAAGUAUUGAACCCUUUUGGUUUGCAGUCAUUAGAAAAAACGAGCGAGAAGAAAACAUGAAGGACGGAUUAAAAAAAAACCAGUUUGCUGCCGUCUACAGGUCGGCGAAUACAGUUGAAGUCGCACAAGAAGAUGACGCCAUGACACUUUUGUACAAGUCCAACAUCACUUUUGUCACAGAUUUCAAGCAGAUUUCCCUUCACAACAGCAGGAGAGCGAAAAGUUUUGGUCAAAUCAAGCGCGCUUGAGCCAAGCGACAAAAUUCCACGGCGGCCAUUUUGCAUCAAAACACAAGACGACGCUAGUUGGACAUCGCAAGCUAAUAUUAAGCUAGCUAACCUCUACGAACUGGCUACCCUUGAAUAGAAUUAGAACUUUUCAACGUGACCAAUUUCGUCUUCCAUUACAUUUGUCAGUCUACGCCUGUCGAAGCUCCAAAUUGCCAAAGAGAAAGCAAAAAAGCGGCAGUUUGUCCUGUGACGCUGGCUAAACCGAGCGCCAAAGACUAACGAGUAUUUUUCCUGAAAAAUUACACAUUUCUUGACAUUUUAUCGGCGGUGUUUAAUGGAUACGAAAAUGACACUAAAGCCGCAAAAAUAAGGAGCAGAUCAGUCAAUCCUUUGACGCUCGCCGACCUGAGCUGACGUCUCGCCCGGCUGGCGGCGCUUUGAGUUGAUGAUCUGAAAAGGGACAAUUGUGCAACUUUCCAGCUAAAGAAAAUUUAAUCUAGUGUAUGUCACAAAAACCCAAAGAAAAAGAUGAAUUGUUUCUGUUCGCUAACCUGAGCUCUUGAGAUGUAUGAGGCCCUUUGGCGUUUAUCUUAUGUAACGUGGGAUUUUGUUCUAAAUGGUGAAAAUGUUUUUCUUGUCGGACGACCUCCCCGCCCCAUAAACGAGAACCGAUGUCUCCAUUAAUUCCAUGAAUUAAUUUUGCCUGAUAAGGUGAAGACUGCACGAAAAAAAGACUUUCAUAAAUUGUUUAAAAGAAAUGGAAAAAUAUUUCAUGAAAAAAUAAAGGACGGUAUUUUUUUUAAACGUUUUUCCUGGACGCUGGUGUGGUGACGUUUUCGGUGUAUUAAGUAAUCAAUUACGCCCCCAAUAGGUUAAAACUAUAAAUGACCGUUUUGUGUGUGAGCAUAGAAAAAAACUCUGCUUCCCUCUGGCGGUCAUGUCGUGUUAUCACCAUCCUUCCUGAAUUGAAUGAAGGAGGUCAAGAUUUUAGUGUAUCAACAUUUUACAUCAAAAUAAUACAAAGAAUAAGACUGAAUUUUUAUAAUUGUUGAAUAUAUUGUAGUCAAAUGAAAUGUAAAAAUAAAUUUGAUUCUAGUGUUAUUUUGAAACAUUCAAAACAAAAACAAAAUUAUACUCGCCUAAGAAUUUGGUAUCAAAUAUAUCUGUUUUUAGCAAUUUAGCAAUUUUUAAGUAUAUAUUUUGCUUGAUUUUAAAACUGGGCAAUAGUUUGUUUUCAUGAAAUUCACAAAGCCUAAUAUUGACGUUUUCUCCCUUGUACCACACGAGGGCGCGCUUUACUCAAAGUUUAUGGGCUCAUUCGGGACAGCGCCAAUCCAUCCAUCUAUCCAUCCGUUUUCUUCGCCGCUUAUCCUCACGAGGGUCGCGGGGAGUGCUGGAGCCUAUCCCAGCUGUCAACCGGCAGGAGGCGGGGCACACCCUGAACUGGUCGCCAGCCAAUCGCAGGUGGCAUAGAGACAAACAGUCGCACUCGCAAUCACACCUUGGGACAAUUUAGAGUGUCUAAUUAAUAUUGCACGUUUUUGGGAUGUGGGAGGAAACCGGAGUGGCCACCCGGAGAAAAGCUGCACGGGGAGAACAUGCAAACUCCACACAGGCGGGGCCGGGAUUGAACCCGGUGUCCUCCGAACUUGUGAGGCCAACGCUUUACCAGCUGAGCCACCGUGCCGCCCGUUUAUGUAGUUUUAAUUUUGAAAAUGCAAAGUCGUCUUCCCCCUCCCCGGCUUCUCCCAUGAAUUAUUUGCGCUUGCCCUUUCCUUCAUUUAUCUCUUUGCGUGAUGCCUCACGGUGGGGGGGACGGGGAGGAGACGACGGCGGUGAUAAUGAGCUCGUCACAAGUGGAUUCAUUAAAAAAAAAAAAAUAAUAAAUCAAGUGGUUGUCGUAGUAACCGGCGGUGUAGAAAAAAACAAGUUUUAUUAAUGUUGUCUUGCAUACUCAGUCAGACAAAAUGUUUUCCCUGGAAAACGGUGGCUGUUGACGCAUUUGUGCCGCAAAAGUGCGGGUGUUGAUGCUGCUACUAGGAAAAAGUACUUUCACUCUGAAAAGUGUGGGUAGCGAACCUCGGCAAACGUAUGAAUGUUUGACGCGUUUGCGGACAAAAGUGCGAAUGUUUCAUCUGUACUGGUGAAAAACGUGGGUGUCCGUUAUCCUUGGCAUUGGGAAAGUUGAAAAUCGAAAGUGCCAAGAAAAGCAUCAUGUCAAUAAAAGUAUGGGUGCGUAAACCCGUGCGAAACUUUUACAGGAAUAGUAUUGUUCUUUAUCCCGGCCGGGAAGAAAGUGUGGGUGUUCGAGGUCCCUUUUCUCGUCCUGGUGAACGUGAGGGUGCUGAACUCUUUUCAAGGAAAAAUGUGGGUGUUAAAAGUAUGGCUGUUUAUCCUGGCACUGGGAAAAGUGCGGGCAAUCAACCCGCCACCACCAGGAAAAAUGUGGGUGUUGACUUCAUUCACCAAGAGAAAAAUUGUCAACCUUUUGUAUGUAUUCAACAUUUUCACUGGGAAAAAAAAGUGCGUUUUUAACUUACCCACACAAAAAGUAUUUGAAGCGAGCAAAAAAAAAAAAAAUGGAUGUUGCUUUUUAUGCUCAUUCGUGAAAAGCUUUUGGUUUGGUUUUGUUUUUUCUUCUUUUGAGCUCAGAUGUCCCCCUGGUGCAAAAAGUACUUUUGUGUUUUCUGUCCGUCUGGACGUCCACCGGCAAUGUUACUGCGCCGCUUUUUUUUUUUUUUUUUUUUUUCCCGUGUCCCACAUUUGUCUUCGUGCCGUUGUUAAGCCCGGGGGUGCGAGGGACGUACACGUGGAAAAAAGCGGCCGUCUGCUCUCAACUCGUUUCGGCCAGAAUUGGCAACAAUCGUUCAAAAACGUUCUCCUGACUCCACUGGCAAAUGUGCGGGUGUUGAAACAUUUUCACCUGGACACGUCUGGACCUGCAACCGUUUCACUCGGAAAGUGGGGGUGUCCAGCAAACAUGAUGG
Molecule: RNA transcript, 3318 nt
Organism: Syngnathoides biaculeatus (alligator pipefish)
Lineage: Eukaryota; Metazoa; Chordata; Actinopteri; Syngnathiformes; Syngnathidae
Gene name: G-protein coupled receptor 151 protein
Exons: 2
Source: RefSeq, a predicted model, not a curated record